GAAAUUGCUGAGCUGUCAUCAAUUCGGAUUGUUUUCGGGGCCAUGGUAACCAUCCCAAUGGAAAAUUGCAGGAAAUUGUGCUAUGCCAAACUUGUUUAACAGCCAGUGUUGGUGCCGGGGUCAACAUCAAAAUGCGAAGCCCUCAACAAUGGGGCAACGUUGCGCGAACGGGGGCAACACGCAGACGUCGGCGCGCUCUGCACGCGACACACAAAGCAACACGAGUUAACACACUCACACACACACACACACAGCACACACGCUGCGCGGUCAAGAGUCAACAGACACAGCACAAGAUCAAUUGCGGCGUUAAUUUAUGGCGCUCCGUGACAAGAUUAUGCCUUGGUGCGCAUACUUUUUGCAUGCACUGUGUAUAUACAUAUGAGAAGCAUAAGGAAGCACAAGUCUUUUGUUUUUGAAAUUUCC
Long non-coding RNA from Drosophila novamexicana, 426 nucleotides. RefSeq lists it as uncharacterized. NCBI's taxonomy places the organism in Eukaryota, Metazoa, Arthropoda, Insecta, Diptera, Drosophilidae. The transcript is spliced from 4 exons. The record is from RefSeq and is a predicted model, not a curated record.